UGAAGGGCUUCGGCUUGUAAACCGCUUUUCUUUGGAAAGAAGGCCCAGAUCGUGAAUCUGGGAUUGACGGUACCAGGGGAAUAAGCCCCCGGCUAACUCCGUGC
This 104-nucleotide ribosomal RNA is filed under the name uncultured bacterium. RNAcentral describes it as "partial 16S ribosomal RNA". The record is from RNAcentral.